GACGAACGCUGGCGGCGUGCCUAAUACAUGCAAGUUGAGCGAUGAAGAUUGGUGCUUGCACCAAUUUGAAGAGCAGCGAACGGGUGAGUAACGCGUGGGGAAUCUGCCUUUGAGCGGGGGACAACAUUUGGAAACGAAUGCUAAUACCGCAUAAUAACUUUAAACAUAAGUUUUAAGUUUGAAAGAUGCAAUUGCAUCACUCAAAGAUGAUCCCGCGUUGUAUUAGCUAGUUGGUGAGGUAAAGGCUCACCAAGGCGAUGAUACAUAGCCGACCUGAGAGGGUGAUCGGCCACAUUGGGACUGGGACACGGCCCAAACUCCUGCGGGAGGCAGCAGUAGGGAAUCUUCGGCAAUAGACGAAAGUCUGACCGAGCAACGCCGCGUGAGUGAAGAAGGUUUUCGGAUCGUAAAACUCUGUUGGUAGAGAAGAACGUUGGUGAGAGUGGAAAGCUCAUCAAGUGACGGUAACUACCCAGAAAGGGACGGCUAACUACGUG
This 497-nucleotide ribosomal RNA is filed under the name uncultured bacterium. RNAcentral's name for it is "partial 16S ribosomal RNA". It matches the Rfam family "Bacterial small subunit ribosomal RNA", at positions 28 to 507 of the family's 1533-position model. The record is from RNAcentral.